Molecule: ribosomal RNA, 513 nt
Filed under: uncultured bacterium
Lineage: Bacteria
Description: partial 16S ribosomal RNA
Rfam family: Bacterial small subunit ribosomal RNA
Source: RNAcentral
GACGAACGCUGGCGGCGUGCUUAACACAUGCAAGUCGAACGAAAAGAGGGAAAGAGCUUGCUCUUUCCGGAAUUGAGUGGCAAACGGGUGAGUAACACGUAAACAACCUGCCUUCAGGAUGGGGACAACAGACGGAAACGACUGCUAAUACCGAAUAAGUUCCAAGGGCCGCAUGGCCCAUGGAAGAAAAGGUGGCCUCUACCUGUAAGCUAUCGCCUGAAGAGGGGUUUGCGUCUGAUUAGCUGGUUGGAGGGGUAACGGCCCACCAAGGCGACGAUCAGUAGCCGGUCUGAGAGGAUGAACGGCCACACUGGAACUGAGACACGGUCCAGACUCCUACGGGAGGCAACAGUGGGGAAUCUUCCGCAAUGGGCGAAAGCCUGACGGAGCAACGCCGCGUGAGUGAUGACGGCCUUCGGGUUGUAAAACUCUGUGAUCCGGGACGAAAAGGCAGAGUGCGAAGAACAAACUGCAUUGACGGUACCGGAAAAGCAAGCCACGGCUAACUACGUG